AGCAGCUGGGAAUGCAGCCUGGCUUCCCUUUUUGUCUCCCUACCUCAGAGAAAGCCUCCUGCUAAGACUUCAAAGAAGACGACUAUACUUCAAUGAUUUCCAGCUCCACUUUUUUCAAACUGUGCUGUCAGGAUGUGAAUUAAUACAGCUGAACUAUGUAGUGGAGAAUCGUCUUAUACAGCACCACACAAAUAAGAGUCAGAGAUUGAACGAUUUUUAAUACGUGAUAUUAUA
This 234-nucleotide long non-coding RNA is filed under the name Mustela putorius furo (domestic ferret). Its description in RNAcentral is "lncRNA (ENSMPUG00000024972.1)". The record is from RNAcentral. Lineage: Eukaryota; Metazoa; Chordata; Mammalia; Carnivora; Mustelidae.